CAAUUGUUCAACCUUGGAGCCAAAACAAAGCCUACAAUGUGUUUAUUAAAUAAUAAUUUCCUGCCUUAUUAUUAUCGCCAUUUAUAUAGCGCCAACAGAUUCCGUAGCGCUUUACAAUAUUAUGAGAGGGGGGGCAUGUAACCAUAAAUAGGACAAUUACAAGAAAACUUACAGGAAUCAUAGGUUGAAGAAGACCUGCUCAAACCAGCUUACAGUCUAUCCGCACUUAUUGGCUAUAUCUCGG
Non-coding RNA from Pelobates cultripes (western spadefoot toad), 244 nucleotides. The record is from the annotation of a GenBank genome assembly. Lineage: Eukaryota; Metazoa; Chordata; Amphibia; Anura; Pelobatidae.